This 28-nucleotide small RNA is filed under the name Bombyx mori (domestic silkworm). RNAcentral's name for it is "ovarian small RNA-16239". The record is from RNAcentral. Lineage: Eukaryota; Metazoa; Arthropoda; Insecta; Lepidoptera; Bombycidae.
GCAAGAGACAGUGCGUCAACUUCGUGGC